RNAcentral lists this ribosomal RNA (615 nucleotides) under Trichoderma harzianum. RNAcentral's name for it is "eukaryotic LSU rRNA". The stretch from base 227 to 380 matches the Rfam family "5.8S ribosomal RNA". Lineage: Eukaryota; Fungi; Ascomycota; Sordariomycetes; Hypocreales; Hypocreaceae. The record is from RNAcentral.
AGGGUGAACCUGCGGAGGGAUCAUUACCGAGUUUACAACUCCCAAACCCAAUGUGAACGUUACCAAACUGUUGCCUCGGCGGGAUCUCUGCCCCGGGUGCGUCGCAGCCCCGGACCAAGGCGCCCGCCGGAGGACCAACCAAAACUCUUUUUGUAUACCCCCUCGCGGGUUUUUUAUAAUCUGAGCCUUCUCGGCGCCUCUCGUAGGCGUUUCGAAAAUGAAUCAAAACUUUCAACAACGGAUCUCUUGGUUCUGGCAUCGAUGAAGAACGCAGCGAAAUGCGAUAAGUAAUGUGAAUUGCAGAAUUCAGUGAAUCAUCGAAUCUUUGAACGCACAUUGCGCCCGCCAGUAUUCUGGCGGGCAUGCCUGUCCGAGCGUCAUUUCAACCCUCGAACCCCUCCGGGGGGUCGGCGUUGGGGAUCGGCCCUGCCUCUUGGCGGUGGCCGUCUCCGAAAUACAGUGGCGGUCUCGCCGCAGCCUCUCCUGCGCAGUAGUUUGCACACUCGCAUCGGGAGCGCGGCGCGUCCACAGCCGUUAAACACCCAACUUCUGAAAUGUUGACCUCGGAUCAGGUAGGAAUACCCGCUGAACUUAAGCAUAUCAAUAANCGGGAGG